RNAcentral lists this ribosomal RNA (445 nucleotides) under uncultured bacterium. RNAcentral's name for it is "bacterial SSU rRNA". It matches the Rfam family "Bacterial small subunit ribosomal RNA", at positions 338 to 795 of the family's 1533-position model. The record is from RNAcentral.
CCUACGGGGUGCACCAGUAGGGAAUAUUGCACAAUGGGCGAAAGCCUGAUGCAGCGACGCCGCGUGGGGGAUGAAUGCUUUCGGGUUGUAAACCCCUUUCAGCAGGGAAGAAGCGAAAGUGACGGUACCUGCAGAAGAAGCGCCGGCUAACUACGUGCCAGCAGCCGCGGUAAUACGUAGGGCGCAAGCGUUGUCCGGAAUUAUUGGGCGUAAAGAGCUCGUAGGCGGUUUGUCACGUCUGCUGUGAAAUCCCGAGGCUCAACCUCGGGACUGCAGUGGGUACGGGCAGACUAGAGUGUGGUAGGGGAGACUGGAAUUCCUGGUGUAGCGGUGGAAUGCGCAGAUAUCAGGAGGAACACCAAUGGCGAAGGCAGGUCUCUGGGCCACAACUGACGCUGAGGAGCGAAAGCAUGGGUAGCGAACAGGAUUAGAUACCCCUGUAGUC